RNAcentral lists this ribosomal RNA (330 nucleotides) under uncultured bacterium. RNAcentral's name for it is "bacterial SSU rRNA". It matches the Rfam family "Bacterial small subunit ribosomal RNA", at positions 568 to 898 of the family's 1533-position model. The record is from RNAcentral.
UGUGUAGGCGGUUCUCCAAGUUUGGUGUGAAAUUUCCCGGCUCAACCGGGAGGGUGCGCCGAAAACUGGAGGGCUAGAGUGCGGGAGGGGAGAGUGGAAUUCCUGGUGUAGCGGUGAAAUGCGUAGAUAUCAGGAGGAACACCGGUGGUGUAGACGGCUCUCUGGACCGUAACUGACGCUGAGACACGAAAGCGUGGGUAGCAAACAGGAUUAGAUACCCUGGUAGUCCACGCCCUAAACGAUGCAUAUUUGGUGUAGGUCAUUCAGUUGAUCUGUGCCGGAGCUAACGCGUUAAAUAUGCCGCCUGGGGAGUACAGUCGCAAGGCUGAA